Molecule: transfer RNA, 64 nt
Filed under: Glischrochilus hortensis
Lineage: Eukaryota; Metazoa; Arthropoda; Insecta; Coleoptera; Nitidulidae
Description: tRNA-Arg
Source: RNAcentral
AAAUAAGAAGUAAAACAUAUUACAUUUAGUUUCGACCUAAAAAUUUGGCUCAUGCCCUUAUUUU